This 269-nucleotide ribosomal RNA is filed under the name uncultured bacterium. Its description in RNAcentral is "partial 16S ribosomal RNA". It matches the Rfam family "Bacterial small subunit ribosomal RNA", at positions 335 to 596 of the family's 1533-position model. The record is from RNAcentral.
ACUCCUACGGGAGGCAGCAGUAGGGAAUAUUGGACAAUGGGCGAAAGCCUGAUCCAGCAAUGCCGCGUGAGUGAUGAAGGUUUAUGGAUCGUAAAGCUCUGUCGUAUAGGAAUAAAUGCCUGUGGUUAAUACCCGCAGGAGCUGAAGGUACUAUACAAGAAAGCACCGGCUAACUACGUGCCAGCAGCCGCGGUAAUACGUAGGGUGCUAGCGUUGUUCGGAAUUACUGGGCGUAAAGCGUAUGUAGGCGGCCAUUUAAGUCAGAUGUG